Molecule: ribosomal RNA, 440 nt
Filed under: uncultured bacterium
Lineage: Bacteria
Description: partial 16S ribosomal RNA
Rfam family: Bacterial small subunit ribosomal RNA
Source: RNAcentral
CCUACGGGUGGCAGCAGUAGGGAAUCUUUCACAAUGGGCGAAAGCCUGAUGGAGCAACGCCGCGUGCAGGAUGAAGGCCUUCGGGUUGUAAACUGCUUUUAUAAGCGAGAAAUAUGAUGGUAACUUAUGAAUAAGGAUCGGCUAACUACGUGCCAGCAGCCGCGGUAAUACGUAGGGGGCAAGCGUUAUCCGGAUUUAUUGGGUGUAAAGGGAGCGUAGACGGCAGCGCAAGUCUGGAGUGAAAUGCCGGGGCCCAACCCCGGAACUGCUCUGGAAACUGUGAAGCUGGAGUGCAGGAGAGGUAAGCGGAAUUCCUGGUGUAGCGGUGAAAUGCGUAGAUAUUAGGAGGAACACCAGUGGCGAAGGCGGCUUACUGGACUGUAACUGACGUUGAGGCUCGAAGGCGUGGGGAGCAAACAGGAUUAGAUACCCGGGUAGUC